UACGGAGGAUGCGAGCGUUAUCUGGAUUUAUUGGGUUUAAAGGGUGCGUAGGCGGAUCGUUAAGUCAGUGGUCAAAUUGAGGGGCUCAACCCCUUCCCGCCAUCGAAACUGGCGAUCUUGAGUGGAAGAGAAGUAUGCGGAAUGCGUGGUGUAGCGGUGAAAUGCAUAGAUAUCACGCAGAACCCCGAUUGCGAAGGCAGCAUGCCGGCUUCCUACUGACGCUGAAGCACGAAAGCGUGGGGAUCGAACAGG
This 252-nucleotide ribosomal RNA is filed under the name uncultured bacterium. RNAcentral's name for it is "partial 16S ribosomal RNA". It matches the Rfam family "Bacterial small subunit ribosomal RNA", at positions 524 to 776 of the family's 1533-position model. The record is from RNAcentral.